RNAcentral lists this long non-coding RNA (731 nucleotides) under Cyanistes caeruleus (blue tit). RNAcentral describes it as "lncRNA (ENSCCEG00000018438.1)". The record is from RNAcentral. Lineage: Eukaryota; Metazoa; Chordata; Aves; Passeriformes; Paridae.
AUGUGUGCAGAGAGCUGUGUGGGAGGGCAUCACACCUGUGCUGCAAGAGGUGCUCCAGGGAGCAUGACAGUGAACAGCUCCAAUCCUGCUGCCACCAGAAGCUUGGAGCUCACCAGCAAUAGGAGAAGGGAAGAAGUGCUAGUGAAUUUGACAGAGGUAGUAAUAGGACUUGCUUUGGUGCUUAGGACUCGCAUGCAAGCCAGGACCUGUCUGCAGACUUGUUUCAUCUUCAGCUCAGAUUGUUUCUCUCCUCUCUGGGACAUCAAGAGCAGAAUCCUUCAGAGCAGGACCUGUGACAGAAGUCCAGAUCAGCUUGCAUUAAGAGCAUGAAAGUAUCCUUUUGAAACUGGUUUCCUAAAGGAAGAAAGCAUGUGUUCUUAUGGGUUGUGAUGUAAACUUGGUGUGUCCUCACAUUCUUGUAGAGCAACUUUGGAACCUGUUUGUCUAUUUUAAUAAGAUUUGGUAAAUUUCAUAGCAAAUGAAGUCCUUGCAGGUAGUAGCUAGCCAGUUAGAAAGGGACCCUAUAAAUAUCCUGAUUCAGGAAAAUAGUGCACUGUGCAUGUGUUAAACUCUGGAGACACUACAUAGGAAAAUAAUUACAUGUAAGUACUCAUCUGGAUCAAAAGCUUCAGUAAGAACUCAAUUUUUCAGGAACAGAAAGCCAUAGGGGACCAUGGCUCAUUCAUUCUGCACCUCACUAUAAUAAACUACUUUUAUCUUGUUAUGAUGCA